UGGCACACAUCUCUCUCCCUCACCCCCUCCUCCACCACCGGCCGCUGGCGUGGCGGUGCGCCUACUGCUCCUCCACUCAGCCACGAGCACCAUCUGCCGCACCAUCCAUCCAUCUCAGCCGCGCCAUCCAUCCACCACUCCACCAGCGCCGCAUCCCCAACAUCCAACACCACCGCGCCACACCACCAGCAGCCUCCAUCCGCCAAACCACUAGUACACCACCGCCAUCGCCAACUCCCUCUUCCUUCCUCUGCUCUCUCAACCUCCCGCUGCUGCUUCUGCUCCAAUCCCCACGCUGCUCACAUUACUUUUCCUUGCUGUUGUUCCUUUACUGAAGAAAACAACCUGCUGCUGUUCUGCACUUGUUGUUGUUCUGAACUCUGAACUCCUGCUGCUGCUUAUUUCGUGCCCAAGCUGCUGCUCCUCUCUUUCUUGCAACACCUACUGCUGUUCUUCUCCUUCUCCUAACCUUGUUGUUGUUCUUCUCUGAACUCCUACCUCGCUGCUACUCUGCUUCCUCACCUCUGUUCCUGCUACUUCUCUUUUGAACCACAAACUGUUGCUGCUCUCUUUCUUUCUCUUCCUCCCUCUCUUUCUAUGCAUGUGUGUGUAAUUUCUGUGAGUUAUUAGUGGAUGCUAGAUCAACCAUAUUCAAAUCAGUAUCAGUUCUAUAUGUGUCUGUAUGUCAGCUAGUUUACUAUAACAAAUUGUGCUUUUAUUUUAUAUUGAGAUUGAUCUUUGUGAAGUCAGAUGUGUGAUUGUGUUUGAUCUCUAGUUAAUAGUUAGUUAAGUACCUGUGAUAUAUAUACAUAUGUGUGUGUCUGUGAUGUGAUACAUUUAUGUUCUGUCCUACAACCUUGUUUCUUCCCCCUGUUAAUUAUAUAUAUUCAUGUCUUUUUAAUUCCCUAGCAGUUUGAUGUUUGCUUGUGCUAGCAUUUUAUUUUUCAAGUUUAAUGAAAAUACCAAAAAGACAGUGAUUGCAAUCUUAUGCUACCUAUGCUAGUUUGCAAUUUCUUUGUCGUCAAUCCUUGUUAGUGUUAGGUUUAUUUUCUGUUUUCAUCACCCAAUAUCGUGUUACCUAGAUUUAGCCGAGCGUAAUCGCCGUCGCCUAGUCCCUGUGAGGAACAACGACAUCCAUAGUUUGGGCGUUAAAACCCCACUAUAUUUACAAGUGAUCAUUUUGGCGCCGUUGCCGGGGAUUAGCGUUGAGUGACCGUGUUAGGCUAUAGACUAGGUUUUUCUUCUUUUUCUAUUUUGUGCCAUAUAUUUGUGAUAUAUCUCUUACCCCUAACCACUGCUCUAGUUAUCUUCUCUUUCUUUUCUUGUUCAUGUUGUAUGUUGAAUUGUCUUCUUGGAAAGGCAUUCUCCUCAGAUCAUCAUGCUUAUGCGAGCAACACUACAAACAUCACGGAAAGUAUUUAAGAACUAAUAAGUAAGAUUUCCCAUCGAUUAGAUGAUUUAGCUCGGUAGCGAGAAGUAGUUUUUGAGGAUAGGCCGCUCUUAUGAUCCUUAUUCCGGAGGCCAUCCUUAUGUUGCUCCUACUUGCCAUAUUUGUGGUUUUCAGGGCCAUUCGCCCGCUGAAUGUCAACAUGGUUACUCUCACACUUCAGAUUGUUUUGGCAUGAGCUUCGCUCAAGAGCAUAGCUCAUACCAAAACAAUUACUCACAUGGGUGGCCUGAUAACCCAAUUAUGUCAUAUAGGAGCAACAACCCUGAGAUCUCAUCGUUUGCCUCUAGUUAUCCAAUGCAGGGAUUUAGGUACAAUGAGGAGAGCCACAACUAUGCUCCACAACAGUCUUAUUCAGCUCCUAUUCAUAUACCUCAGCACCAGGAGAUGUGUCCAAUGGAGUUAAAUGGUCCUCCAUUUGGUCAACCAAUAACUUCAGCACCUAAUGAGUCGGUAGAGCAAUCUCAUGUGCAAGUGCCCACACAAGAUGAGUUUGAUGGCAUAGACAAGCUCACACUUUUUAGUCUCGAGUUCACUUGGAGUGUUGAGGAUGAUCCUAUUAGGAAGGUUAUACUAGAGGAAAUGAAGAAGAUCAAGAGUGGAAAAGAGCUAGUGGAAGAAGUAAGGAAGAUUGAGAAGAACAUCAACGCUGGCAGCACUAUUUCUUCACAGCUAGAGAUGAGUAUUUCUGGGAUAUCCUUUGAUACAUGUGAGGUUCCAACACCGUCACAUACAGCUGAGCAAGAUAGCAAGAGUUCAGAGGAAGAGAGACCUCAGAUUUAAGAUGAACUAGAAGACAAGGAACAAGAUGAUCAAGAGCUGCAAUUUCCAUGUGAUCAAGUUGAAGACUCAUCAUCUACUACUCCUAAAGAAGUACAAGAAGAUGUUGUAGAUGAAGAUGAAGAACCUGAGAUUCACUGUCCUAUUGUCAUACAUGAGUGUGAUGUGUCAGGUUUACCCAAUCCUCUUGAUGACAUGCUACCUUGUGAUUUCUUUGCUUCUAACUUGCAUUGCAUGAUGCCAUCACUUAAGGUAGAUUUGAAAAACUAUUUGCUUGGACAUGAUCAUACACACCUUGUUAGUGGCAUUACUCUCAUUUGUGAUGAUCACAGUUACUUUCCUCGUGCUAGUUCUAUGCUUAAUGAAACAUAUCAUUCCCAUGCUAGUCUUGAGCUUAAUGAUAAAUAUCAUCCUCAUGUUAGUGUUGACCUUGCUGAUUUCUACCAUCCUAAACAUGUGCUUUAUAGCUAUGCUUAUGUAAUUGGAUAUUCGAUUGAUGACUUGGAGGGUAUUAUCCCUACCGCUUGCAUUGUUUCUUUUGUUGAGUGCCCUUUCAGGUUUUUGCUACUGCACCGUUCACUACAUGCUGACCAGGUUCGAGGUGACAUCCCUUGGGAUCCUGGUGGAGUCAGAGCAUGGCGAUGAGGAGAAGCAAGGGGCACACACGAAGAAGAGUGAAGCUGGAGCAUGCAUGAGGAAGCAAAAGGAGAGGAGUCGUAAUGCACGAGGAUGUAAGAGUGAUCGAGCGAGACCUACAUCAUAUAAUCCCGGUGAGCUGUUUCAUGACCCCAAUAUGAAUACCAUCAUACAUUAUACAUGCUGUAAUCAACUGCCAUUUGGGUCGCUUGAGCAAUUUCUUAAAUAUUGUCCCACUGAAUUUUACCUUCGACAUAGGGUGAUUGAUGUGAAUAUGUGAACUGAGUGUUGAAUGCCUUGUAAACUAGUGAUCUACACAAUGCUUGCUUUGCUGAAAGUAGUGAAAGCUAUUAGUUUUGAGUGCUCAAAUCCCUAGUACACUAGAAAACUUAAUCAUUUUCUGCUUUUACCUUGAUACACCUAGAUCAUUAAGUGUCAAAUGCUGAGUUUGUGCCUAAUGUGUUCCCAUUGAGAGCAAUCACCUAACCACUAUGGAUUAGCAUGCUAUGUUCCCUGGAUCGGUAGCAUGUGAACCAGACAUGGAGAAGUGAUGAUUCCAAUUUUUGUGCUUAUGUGUUGUUCAUUUAAAAAAGUAUAUCUUACAAUAAAUAAGUAUCUGAUCUUACCUAACAGUAGCAUGUCAUGUUCCCUGGAUUGGUGGCUUGUGAAAUCUGCCAAGUGAAGGGAACCUUUGGCACAAUCAUCAUUCGAACUAGUUGAUCUUCUUUUAUCAUUGUAAAAGUUUAAAAUGGUCAAGUCUACUAGUAUCCUACCGCUUUGAAGCACUCCUAACCAUUAAUUUUCACUAGCUAAGUCCAAAGCAUGCACUGGUUAUAGAUCUACUUCACUUGGCAUUCUCUAGUCAGUUCUCCAUUCACUAUCGAGUUCGUGUCAUAAGCCUUUACUAGAGGACAAGUAAAGAUUUAAGUGUGGGGGGAACUUGAUAAGCACAUUUAAUAUAUACAAUUUGGGCACACAAAUAUACCAUUUAUUGUGAUCUGACCAUUAAUUCUUGCUAUGAACUGUUGCAUAUGUGCAUGAAAAUCAUAUAAGGAAUCAUUUACUAGCAUAUGUUUCCUUUGCAGAAAAGUGUGAGAAGACACUAUAAACUUCAAGAUCCGGAAUAAGUGGCUAAGAGAACGAAGAAGAGGAGGAAUAAUAUACUUGUGCGAGAAGAAACGAGGUAACCAGGGGGCCAACUAUAGAAGAGAGUAUCAUCUUGUGCCAAAAGAAGAGAAGGAGGGCAAAAGUGCAAAAUGGAACGAAGAAGAGGAGGAAGAAUAUACUUGUGCGAGAAGAAAUGAAGUAAGGCCCGAUCCAAAAUUGAGGCAUGCUAGGGAUUUUGAUCCCCUCCCUGAUCUGCCAUUUUGCACUUUUGCCCUCCUUCUUCUCUUCUUUUGGCACAAGAUGAUCCUCUCUUCUAUAGUUGGCCCCCUGGUUACUUUGUUUCUUCUCGCACAAGUAUAUUCUUCCUCCUCUUCUUCGUUCCAUUUUGCACUUUUGCCCUCCUUCUCUUCUUUUGGCACAAGAUGAUCCUCUCUUCUAUAGUUGGCCCCCUGGUUCAUCCAUCCAUCCCAGCCGCGCCGCGCCAUCCAUCCACCACUCCACCAGCGCUGCAUCCCCAACAUCCAACACUGCCGCGCCACACCACCAGCAGCCUCCAUCCGCCAGACCACCAGUACACCACCACCAACGCCAACUCCCUCUUCCUUCCUCUGCUCUCUCAACCUCCUACUGCUGCUUCUACUCCAAUCCCCACGCUGCUCACAUUACUUUUCCUUGUUGUUGUUCCUUUACUGAAGAAAACGACCUGCUGAUGUUCUGCACUUGUUGCUGUUCUGAACUCUGAACUCCUGCUGCUGCUUAUUCCGUGCCCAAGCUGCUGCUCCUCUCUUUCUUGCAACACCUUCUGCUGUUCUUCUCCUUCUCCUAACCUUGCUGUUGUUCUUCUCUGAACUCCUACCUCGCUGCAGCUCUGCUUCCUCACCUCUGUUGCUGCUACUUCUCUUCUGAACCACAAACUGCUGCUGCUCUCUUUAUUUCUCUUCCUCCCUCUCUUUCUAUGCAUGUUUGUGUAAUUUCUGUGAGUUAUUAGUGGAUGCUAGAUCAACCAUAUUCAAAACAGUAUCAGUUCUAUAUGUGUCUGUAUGUCAGCUACUUCACUAUAACAAAUUGUGCUUUUAUUUUAUAUUGAGAUUGAUCUUUGUGAAGUCAGAUGUGUGAUUGUGUUUGAUCUCUAGUUAAUGUGUUAGUUAAGUACCUGUGAUAUAUAUACAUAUGUGUAUGUCUCUGAUGUGAUACAUUUAUGUUCUGUCCUACAACCUUGUUUCUCCCCCCUGUUAAUUGUUAGAUAGUUAUAUAUAUAUUCAUGUCUUUUUAAUUCCCUAGCAGUUUGAUGUUUGCUUGUGCUAGCAUUUUAUUUUUCAAGUUUAAUGAAAAUACAAAAAAGGUAGUGAUUGCAAUCUUAUGCUACCUAUGCUAGUUU
This 5348-nucleotide long non-coding RNA is filed under the name Triticum aestivum (bread wheat). RNAcentral describes it as "long non-coding RNA (TAES_LNC022354)". The record is from RNAcentral. Lineage: Eukaryota; Viridiplantae; Streptophyta; Magnoliopsida; Poales; Poaceae.